AGGCAAGAAGUUUAGGGUAUCAAUGAGAUUCAAAAUUAGAAACUAUAAAUUCUAAAAUGAUUUUUUAAAGACGCUAUGACGUUUGAAACUUUUUAUAAAUCCCAUCUCCUCCUACUAAAUAAGUGUUUUCCUCCUGAUCACUGCACUUAAAAUUUUUCAGUAUCUAUUCUCAGUUAACAUGCUCUGACAUCUUUUGGAAAAAGAAUUUCCAAAUGAGGCAUAUAAACACAAUAG
This is a long non-coding RNA of Herpailurus yagouaroundi (jaguarundi), 234 nucleotides long. RefSeq lists it as uncharacterized. NCBI's taxonomy places the organism in Eukaryota, Metazoa, Chordata, Mammalia, Carnivora, Felidae. The record is from RefSeq and is a predicted model, not a curated record. The transcript is spliced from 3 exons.